UGGCCCUCAGUACGGCGAGUGAGCGGCAAAGCUCAAAUUUGAAAUCUAGUACCUUCGGUGCUCGAGUUGUAAUUUGAAGGUAGUUUUCUGGUGCUGGCCCUUGUCUAUGUUCCUUGGAACAGGACGUCAUAGAGGGUGAGAAUCCCGUCUGAUGGGGUGUCCAGUGCUUUGUAGAUUUCUACCGAAGAGUCGAGUUGUUUGGGAAUGCAGCUCUAAGUGGGUGGUAAAUUCCAUCUAAAGCUAAAUACUGGCGAGAGACCGAUAGCGAACAAGUACAGUGAUGGAAAGAUGAAAAGAACUUUGAAAAGAGAGUGAAAAAGUACGUGAAAUUGUUGAAAGGGAAGGGUAUUGGAUCAGACUUGGUGUCUUGUGAUUAUCUUCCCUUCUUGGGUUGUGCACUCGCAUUUCACUGGGCCAGCAUCGGUUCGGAUGGCAAGAUAAAUGGCUUGGGAAUGUGGCACUCUUCGGAGUGUGUUA
Molecule: ribosomal RNA, 477 nt
Filed under: Petasospora fabianii
Lineage: Eukaryota; Fungi; Ascomycota; Saccharomycetes; Phaffomycetales; Wickerhamomycetaceae
Description: eukaryotic LSU rRNA
Rfam family: Eukaryotic large subunit ribosomal RNA
Source: RNAcentral